Non-coding RNA from Caenorhabditis elegans, 21 nucleotides. Lineage: Eukaryota; Metazoa; Nematoda; Chromadorea; Rhabditida; Rhabditidae. The record is from Ensembl.
UGUUCAGUUUAUCGUACAAAU